CGGGGGGCAGCAGUGGGGAAUUUUGGACAAUGGGCGCAAGCCUGAUCCAGCAAUGCCGCGUGCAGGAUGAAGGCCUUCGGGUUGUAAACUGCUUUUGUACGGAACGAAACGGUGAGCUCUAAUACAGUUUGCUAAUGACGGUACCGUAAGAAUAAGCACCGGCUAACUACGUGCCAGCAGCCGCGGUAAUACGUAGGGUGCGAGCGUUAAUCGGAAUUACUGGGCGUAAAGCGUGCGCAGGCGGUGAUGUAAGACAGAUGUGAAAUGCCCGGGCUCAACCUGGGACCUGCAUUUGUGACUGCAUCGCUAGAGUACGGUAGAGGGGGAUGGAAUUCCGCGUGUAGCAGUGAAAUGCGUAGAUAUGCGGAGGAACACCGAUGGCGAAGGCAAUCCCCUGGACCUGUACUGACGCUCAUGCACGAAAGCGUGGGGAGCAAACAGGAUUAGAUACCCGUGU
RNAcentral lists this ribosomal RNA (457 nucleotides) under uncultured Comamonadaceae bacterium. Its description in RNAcentral is "bacterial SSU rRNA". It matches the Rfam family "Bacterial small subunit ribosomal RNA", at positions 342 to 791 of the family's 1533-position model. The record is from RNAcentral. Lineage: Bacteria; Pseudomonadati; Pseudomonadota; Betaproteobacteria; Burkholderiales; Comamonadaceae.